RNAcentral lists this non-coding RNA (25 nucleotides) under Rattus norvegicus (Norway rat). The record is from RNAcentral. Lineage: Eukaryota; Metazoa; Chordata; Mammalia; Rodentia; Muridae.
UUUAUAAUUGAUGUGGGAGGACCUC